UUUUUUUCAAGUUUACUCAACGACACUCAGGAGAAGACUUGUGCUUUUUUCAAGUUUACUCAACGACACUCAGGAGAAGACUGUUGAUCAGAAUUCCCUGGUCGUUAUAUUUAUUGCCCUCUGAUUACAUGUAUUGUAAUAUUUAGGUACAUUAAAUGGCGGGAAAUAGUAUGUA
This is a long non-coding RNA of Drosophila gunungcola (fruit fly), 175 nucleotides long. RefSeq lists it as uncharacterized. The transcript is spliced from 2 exons. NCBI's taxonomy places the organism in Eukaryota, Metazoa, Arthropoda, Insecta, Diptera, Drosophilidae. The record is from RefSeq and is a predicted model, not a curated record.